CACAGUUUAAGCUUGCAAAUUAGAUGAAGAGAGAGAAAGAGAGAGAAGGUGGCCCACACAGGGAUCUUGCCACUUAGGCAUCCUUUCUACUUCUACCUGUGGCCUGGAGGAACAUUUCUUACAAUACAAAAGAAGGCUCCUCCAAAUUCCAUCUUUGGAUUUGCCCUUUGAAUGCUGGAGCUAAGACUGCACCAUGUGGGUUCUCAUCAUGCCUGCUGCCAUUCAUUGGAUAACAAACCCGGAAUUCAAAUGAUAAUUGAGGUGGCUGCAUUAAAAUGUCACCAGCAGGCACACUUAAGGCACUUGCAGGUUCUGAAGUGAUAUCUGAUCCUUACAGUCCCAAUAUGUCUUGAGUAAAUAUCAGGGCUAAUAUCUAUUUUUAAAUUAAAAUUAUGCUGGUCCUUUGUGCAAUUUUUCCCAUAAGACAUAAAGAAAAUAAAAGAUAGUUUGAAUCAUA
Molecule: long non-coding RNA, 457 nt
Organism: Carcharodon carcharias (great white shark)
Lineage: Eukaryota; Metazoa; Chordata; Chondrichthyes; Lamniformes; Lamnidae
Exons: 2
Source: RefSeq, a predicted model, not a curated record